RNAcentral lists this transfer RNA (72 nucleotides) under Epichloe festucae E2368. Its description in RNAcentral is "tRNA-Gln (TTG) (tRNA-Gln-TTG-1-1)". It matches the Rfam family "tRNA". Rfam says of the family: Transfer RNA (tRNA) molecules are approximately 80 nucleotides in length. Their secondary structure includes four short double-helical elements and three loops (D, anti-codon, and T loops). Further hydrogen bonds mediate the characteristic L-shaped molecular structure. tRNAs have two regions of fundamental functional importance: the anti-codon, which is responsible for specific mRNA codon recognition, and the 3' end, to which the tRNAs corresponding amino acid is attached (by aminoacyl-tRNA synthetases). tRNAs cope with the degeneracy of the genetic code in two manners: having more than one tRNA (with a specific anti-codon) for a particular amino acid; and 'wobble' base-pairing, i.e. permitting non-standard base-pairing at the 3rd anti-codon position. The record is from RNAcentral. RNAcentral also lists the same sequence under 1 other name. Lineage: Eukaryota; Fungi; Ascomycota; Sordariomycetes; Hypocreales; Clavicipitaceae.
GGCUCGUUCGUCUAGGGGUCAGGACGCUGGAUUUUGAUUCCAGAAGCACCAGUUCGAAUCUGGUACGAGCCU